UCCCUGGUGGCUCAGAGGUUAAAGUGUCUGCCUCCAAUGCGGGAGACCCGGGUUUGAUCCCUGGGUUGGGAA
RNAcentral lists this transfer RNA (72 nucleotides) under Odocoileus virginianus texanus. It matches the Rfam family "tRNA". Rfam says of the family: Transfer RNA (tRNA) molecules are approximately 80 nucleotides in length. Their secondary structure includes four short double-helical elements and three loops (D, anti-codon, and T loops). Further hydrogen bonds mediate the characteristic L-shaped molecular structure. tRNAs have two regions of fundamental functional importance: the anti-codon, which is responsible for specific mRNA codon recognition, and the 3' end, to which the tRNAs corresponding amino acid is attached (by aminoacyl-tRNA synthetases). tRNAs cope with the degeneracy of the genetic code in two manners: having more than one tRNA (with a specific anti-codon) for a particular amino acid; and 'wobble' base-pairing, i.e. permitting non-standard base-pairing at the 3rd anti-codon position. RNAcentral also lists the same sequence under 2 other names. Lineage: Eukaryota; Metazoa; Chordata; Mammalia; Artiodactyla; Cervidae. The record is from Rfam by way of RNAcentral.